CCUCCUCCUGCCAUGAUUAAAUCACCUCCCACCAGGCCCCACCUCCAACAUUAAGGAGUACAUUCCACAGGAGUUUUGGAAAAGAAACACAGCCAAACCAUAUUAUUCUGACCCUGAUACCCCAGAAUCUCAUGUCCUUCUCACAGAGCAAAAUACAUUCAUGCCUUGUCAAAAGUUUCCAAAAGUCUUAACUCAUUCCAGCAUUAACUCAAAUGUAAAAACUUCAACAUCUCAUCUGAGACAAGUCUACAGUCCCUUUCACCUAUGAGUCCCUGAAUUUAAAAGGAUGUUCUUUUCUUUCAGGGUACAAUGAUGGUACAGGCAUUGGGUAAGCUUUCUCAAUUGAAAGGGAAGAAAUUUCCCAGGAAAAAACCACAAAUAGAACCACACGCCCAAUGCAAGUCCAAAACCCAGGAGGCCAGUAUCCAUUCAAUCUCACAGCUCCAAAAUCACGAAGAGAACUCACUAGCAUAAGCACAGCAAUAAGGAGAUGGUGUUUAAUCAUUUGUGAAGGAUCCACCCCCCCACCACCACUUUUCACCCCUCACCCCCACCAUAAUCCCCUCAUUCUCCCUACCCCCCACCUUCCAACCCUCACUCUCCACCAUGAUUAAAUCACCCUCCACCAGGCCCCACCUUUAACUUUAUUAUUCUGUCCCUGGCUCCCAAAUCUCAUGUCCUUCUCACAUUGCAAAAUAUAAUGAUGCCUUCCCUACAGUCCCCCAAAUCUUGUAUCAUUCCAGCAUUUAUACAAAUGUCCAAAGCUUAAAGUCUCAUCUGACACAAGGCUACAGUCCCUUAGGUACAAGAGCCUCUGAACUAUAAAGCAAGUUAACUACUUCCAAGGUACAAUGCUUCUGCAGGCAAUGGGUAAGCAUUCUCAACUGAAAGGAAGAAUUUUGCCAGAAAGAACAAAACACAUACAGGUCUUACAGGCCCCAUGAAACUCCAAACCCAGAAGGCCAGUCAUUCAAUCCUACAGUUCCAAAAUCACCCUUUUUGAAACGUUGUCCCACAUCCAGGGCACAGGGACAUGAGGGCUGGGCUCUGAAGGCCUUGGGCAGCCCUGCACCUGUGGCUUUGCAGGGUUUAUGCCCCACAGCUGCCCCCAUGGGCUGGGCGGGUGUGGAGUGCCUAUAGCUUUUCCUGACUGAUGGUACAAGCUGUUGGUGGGUCUAUGAAUCUGGGGUCUGCAUGAUGGUGGCCUCCAGUGUGGGGGCUCCAACGCCAUAUUUUCCUUCUGCACUGCCCUAGUAGAGGUUUCCCAUGAGGCUCUGCCUUUUUGGCAGCCUUCUGUCUGGACACCCAAGCACUUUUAUAUAUCUUCCAAAAUAUAUAUGGAGGAUCUCAAGCCUCUGAACUAGUGCUCUGUGCACCCACUGGCUUAACACUGUGUGGAAGCCACCAAGGCUUAUAGCUUGCACCUUCUGAAGCGGUGUCCCAAGCUGUACCUGUGCGUCUUUGAGACAAGGCUGGAGCUGGAGCUGCAGGGAUGCAGGCAGCAGUAUCCUGAGGCUGCACACAGCAGCAGAGCCAUGGGGAUGGCCCAGGAAACCAUUCUUUCUCCUAGGUCCCAGGGCCUGUGACAGAAAGGGCUACUGCAAACAUCUCUGAAAUGCCUCCAAGGCUUUCUCCCCCAUUGCGUUGGCUAUUAGCACUGGCCUUCAUUUCAUGCAAAUUUUUAAAGCCAUCAUGAAUUUUCCCUCUGAAAAUCAGCUUUUGUUUUGACCAUUUGGCCAGGCUGCAAAUGUUACAAACUUUUGAGCUCUGCUUGUCAUUUAAAUAUAAGUUGCAACUUGAGGUCAUUUCCUUGGUCACACAUAAGGGCACAGGCUGUUUGACAUAGAGAGGGCACGUCUUGAGAUUUGCUGCCUAGAUGUUCAUUCCACCAGAUAUGCCCUGAAUCAUCAACCUCAAGUUUAAAGUUUCACACAUCUCCAGGGCAAGGUCACCCUGCAGCCACGUUCUUUGUUACAGCAAAACAAAAGUAACCUUGGCUCCUGUUCCCAGUAAGUUCCUCAUUUUCAUCUGAGACCUCAUAAGCCUGGCCUUCACUGUCCCUCCUUCUGUCAGCAUUUUAAUCACAAGUAUUUAACAAGUCUCUACAAUGGUCCAAACUUUCCUUCAUCUUCCUGUCUUCUUCCAAGUCCUCCAAACUCUCCGACCUCUGGCUGUUAGCCACUUCUGAACCUGCUUUUAUAUUUUCAGCUAUCUUUGUCACAACCUGGCAAUGUAGAAGGAAAAAAAGUCCAUUUUCAGGGGCAAACUUCAAGAAGGCUUCAGAUAUUUGCAUUAAAAGGAAGACCAGUAUUAAUAGCCAAUGUGAUGGGGAAAAGUCAUUGAAGACAUUUAAUAGCUUCAAUUCGCAUAGUAAUUUUCUGUAAGAUCAUAACAAAAAGGGGUUUAAUUGGCUUAUAGUUCUGCAGUAGGCUGUAAAGAAAGCAUAGUAACUUCUGUUUCUGGGAGGACUCAGGAGGCCUCUCAAUUAUACCAGAAGGACAAGCAGCAAUAAAAUGUUGCAUAUGGCCAGAGUAGGAGCAAGACAGAGAGAGGAAAGAGGUGUCACAGACUGUUAUACAACCAGAUCUCUUGAGAACUCAGUAUCACAAGGUCAGCAUCAAGAAGAUGGUGCUUAAUCAUUGGUGAAAGAUCCACCCCCCAACACACUUCCACCCCCCACUGUUUCCAGGCAGAAGCCUGCUGCAGAGGCAGAGCCUCUUGGAAAAUAUGGGCUUGGAAGGAAAUAUGCAGAAGGAAAAUAUGGGCUUGGAGCCCCUAUGCAGGAGGCCACCAUCCUCCAGACCCCAGAUUCAUAGACCCAACAACAGCUCAUACUCUCAGUAUGGAAAAGGUACAGGCACUAAACAACAGCCAAGCCCAUGAGAGCAGCCACGGGGCUAAAGCCUGCAAAGCCACAGGUGCACUGUCCUAGUAGAGGUUUUCCAUGAGCCUCUGCCUCUGCAGCAGGCUACUCCCCCUUCCUACUACCCACCACCCUAUGGCCAGCCUAUUCCUCCCCACCCUCCCCGCCCCUUUUUCCUUACACCCCCACCCUCCUCCCAUCCAGGAUUAAAUCACCUCCCACCAGGCUUCACCUCCAAAAUUCAGGAUUACACUUCCACAGAGUUUUUCUAGGGAAACACAGCCAAACCAUAGUAUUCCGAACUUGACCCUUCCAAAUCUCAUGUCCUUCUCACAGGGUAAAAUACAAUCAUGCCUUUUCAAAAGUUUCCAAAAUCCUUAACUCAUUCCAGCAUUAACUCAAAUAUAAAAAGUUCAAAGUCUCAUCCGAGACAAGGCUACAGUCUCUUAUGCCUAUGAGUCUCUGAAGUUAAAAUGGAGUUCAUUUCUUUAAAGGUACAAUGAUGACACAGGUAUUGGGUAAGCUGUCUUAAUCCAAGGGGAAGAAAUUUCCCAGAAAAAUAACACAAAUGGGACCAGAGGCCCAAUGCACAUCCAAAACCCAGCAGAACAGUAUUCAUUCAAUCUCACCACCACAAAAUCAUGAAGAGAACUAUCACAAGGACAGUAUUAAGGAGAUUGUGUUUAACCAUUUGUGAAGGAUCUGCCCCCCA
RNAcentral lists this long non-coding RNA (3575 nucleotides) under Homo sapiens (human). RNAcentral's name for it is "HSALNT0351673". The record is from RNAcentral. Lineage: Eukaryota; Metazoa; Chordata; Mammalia; Primates; Hominidae.